UUCCAAUCGGGCGAGCCACUCCACUUUCUGGUUCGUCACGAAGAAAAAGGAGGAAAAAACAUACCGUGGCCUGCGGUGCGGCAGUGUGGAGACCUGUCGUAUAUGCAUCCGGCACGUAUGCGGCCGGCUGUGAGGUUACAGCUUGCGGAGGCACUGUAACUAAGGUAAGAAAGAUGGCG
RNAcentral lists this non-coding RNA (179 nucleotides) under unclassified sequences. RNAcentral describes it as "malK-I RNA". It matches the Rfam family "malK-I RNA". The record is from RNAcentral.